This is a non-coding RNA of Megalopta genalis, 2523 nucleotides long. Lineage: Eukaryota; Metazoa; Arthropoda; Insecta; Hymenoptera; Halictidae. The record is from RefSeq and is a predicted model, not a curated record.
ACGUAAAAGCUAUUAUUAGGGGGAAACCUGUCGCAGCUACUUCAGUGAGAUUGAUUUUACUUUAACGCGUCGGCCACCGGAUGAAAAAUACGAAAGUUUAGCUCUGCCCGACUUUCGGGGAGACCCGAAUCUUUCGACAGCCAGUGAGAGACGAUUUAAUAUUCGGCCUCUCUCGGGCCGAUCGAUCGGAGCUACCUAUUCAGAAAUAUUGUUGGAUGUUCUAUUAUACGUAUUGUAUUAUACAUUUCGAGGAUGCCCGUUUCAAGAAUAAAAAUUGCUGAUGGAAAGAGUAGAUUACGGGGCCUCGACGGUGUCGGGAACAGUGAGGACAAAACUUUCGCGGGAUGGUAUUUCUUAAAAUCAGUUUUUGGAGCUUUAAGAGGCCAGCGUUGCCAAGCUCGUUAGACGUUAUAGAUAUGUACUCACUUUUGGAAUUCCCACUCUCGAUUGUCGAGCGGACAAACUUGCCGAGUUUUCAACCAACGUGAAAUGCAAUGGAAAUGGAAUGCAUGCUGCGCAAAGAGAAACGAUCAAAAUAUUAAAAUAGAGGAGUUGAAGCGUAUCGCCUCGGCGAUACCAAGCAUGUAUUGUAACAAAAUAUAUAGACUUUGAAUAUGUACAUUGCAUACACCCCAAGCUACGGUACAUUCUUCGCUAGUAGCUGAUGCUUGAUUUGCUUGACAUUCGAUACAUAGAUCCAUAAUAUGAUUACGACAUAUGGCACAAUUGUCUACCACGAUAUCUGUAAAGGAAAAGAAUCGUGUAAUUGCUCCAUUUCAUAAAUAAUGGAGUAACAUGAAUGAAUUGUACUCGGUUGAGAAUUACGAAAAUAAUGCAAAUUCUGUAUACAUACCCCAUGCCCAAAGCGCCACAGCAUUCCACUGAAAAGAAAAGUGACAUAAUAUUAAAAGAACAUGAAAUAUUAACCAUGUGAGUGUAAGAAAAUUUUCGGCUAUUUUUCUCCUCACCUUUUUCACUUCGAAACGUUUCUUCUCUCCUUUGCUGCUACUCGAAGUUGGUAAAUCACUUUCUUCAUCAUCAAUUUCCAUCAAUGACGCCAUAUUUAAAUUUUGAACGUUGCCAACUGACACCUUGUGUGGACAACACGAAACACGACGAACGAUUCGCGGAAGAAAGUUUACGAUGAUUUACGACAUAAACGACGUACGAUUCCCAAGUUGUUUAUCUUAACGUUUUGUGGGUGCACAGUACAACAUGCUACAUCAAAAUUUCCACCUUGAUCUAGUAAUCCGAAUUAUAUGGGAAUCGAAGUAAAGGAAGACGCACGUGUCUGCAUGUGACCUACAUUCGUAUCGAGCCAUAUGGCCGCCGAUUCCGAGCCGGGACCGCUAAAAAGGUAGCGCAUGUCGAGGGGAAAUAACGUCUGUCAAUCACAAGGGAAGAAAUCGUGUGCAGAAAAAUGGCCGCCGACGGAGUAACGUCUGUGUACGCCGAGAUUCCGGAGGAAUUCUUCUGACCGUUAACUUUUGUCUUUCCGAGAAAUCAUGGGACGAGAAGAAACGAGACGAAAAAGUGGAGUCACGCCUCCGAGGUCGGGAGUUAUUAAGGGCUCCGGGGACCUCCCGACGAACCCUGUCCCGAUGGUUAUGAAACAUUCUCGGGUGAAUUUCGAAGAUCGGUGUUGCAUCCGUGAAAGUCGAGAAUUUUAAUAGCGGUAUCUACGGGCUUAUUCAUAAAUCACCGACGAGUCGGAAGUGUAUCAAAACUUUCCACCCGUGAAAUUGUGCAUUUACUUGAGCACAAAAAGUCACAACCGAUAUUGGAUUGUAAGUUUUUAUUGCGUGUUCGCAUCGAACCGGAUUUAAUAUAAUAUAAUUGCAUAUGUAUAUAUAUUAUAUUGAAUAUAUAAUUGAAUAUAUUAUAAUAUAUUAAGCAAUUGAAUAUAAUUUGUAACUGAUCACGAUAAUUGAGGCACCUAACUUUAAAAUACGAAUCGACUGGAAAUAGUCGCGAUACCAGUCCGAAUGAAUUUUUCAAAUUCCGAAAAUGUUGUUUCAUCAAAAUAUUGUUUUAUAUAGUAAACUAUAUCAUUUUUUCUUUUUUUCUUUUGUUUUUAAUCUAAUCGAAAGUAACCGCUGUUAAGAAUUUUUAAAAAUUGAGUUAUUUGAAGAAGGUACGGAGCGACGGGUUUUUUUCAGAUGCACUUUUUACAUUGGAUGAUUCUGAUGUAAUACAGCACUUGAUUCGAUAGAGAGUUUACUAUCUGACGGAUUAUUUACUCGCCGCUAUUGAGGCAACGUCAAAUAACGUUUACAUGAUCGAUGGUUCUACUCGUAAUGCUUGUAAAUUUUCCGUUAACGUAAAACGCAUCUUUGAAACUUACGAUGAACGCGCUCGCGCGAUACGGAUUUGUCGCUGGAACGUUCUAGAGAGUACGAAGUUCGAAUAUAGUGUUCUCGCGUUUGAACGAAUAUAAGCGAUUAUCAGAGAGGUGAAAGCGAACCGUUUCUAAUUCCUCAUAAAAAUACUAAUGAAUUUAAUUAAAUAAACGUGAAUUUAUUG